RNAcentral lists this unclassified non-coding RNA (339 nucleotides) under soil metagenome. Its description in RNAcentral is "partial contains 5.8S ribosomal RNA, internal transcribed spacer 2, and large subunit ribosomal RNA". The stretch from base 1 to 120 matches the Rfam family "5.8S ribosomal RNA", at positions 35 to 154 of the family's 154-position model. The record is from RNAcentral.
GAUGAAGAACGUAGCGAAAUGCGGUACGUAGUGUGAAUUGCAGAAUUCAGUGAAUCAUCGAAUCUUUGAACGCACAUUGCACCUCUCGGUAUUCCGGGAGGUAUGCCUGUUCGAGCGUCAUUUGUACCCUCAAGCUCUGCUUGGUGUUGGGUGUUUGUUCCGCCUCUGUGUGUGAACUCGCCUCAAAACAAUUGGCAGCCGGCGUACUUGUUUCGGAGCGCAGCACAUUUUGCGAUCCAGAUCAACGUACAGCGGCAUCCAAGAAGCCUUAUUUAACGCUCUUGACCUCGGAUCAGGUAGGGAUACCCGCUGAACUUAAGCAUAUCAAUAAGCGGAGGA